RNAcentral lists this ribosomal RNA (468 nucleotides) under uncultured bacterium. RNAcentral describes it as "partial 16S ribosomal RNA". It matches the Rfam family "Bacterial small subunit ribosomal RNA", at positions 28 to 507 of the family's 1533-position model. The record is from RNAcentral.
GACGAACGCUGGCGGCGUGCUUAACACAUGCAAGUCGAACGGAAAGGCCCUGCUUUUGUGGGGUGCUCGAGUGGCGAACGGGUGAGUAACACGUGAGUAACCUGCCCUUGACUUUGGGAUAACUUCAGGAAACUGGGGCUAAUACCGGAUAGGAGCUCCUGCUGCAUGGUGGGGGUUGGAAAGUUUCGGCGGUUGGGGAUGGACUCGCGGCUUAUCAGCUUGUUGGUGGGGUAGUGGCUUACCAAGGCUUUGACGGGUAGCCGGCCUGAGAGGGUGACCGGCCACAUUGGGCCUGAGAUACGGCCCAGACUCCUACGGGAGGCAGCAGUGGGGAAUAUUGCACAAUGGGCGGAAGCCUGAUGCAGCAACGCCGCGUGCGGGAUGACGGCCGUCGGGUUGUAAACCGCUUUCGCCUGUGACGAAGCGUGAGUGACGGUAAUGGGUAAAGAAGCACCGGCUAACUACGUG